AUUAGUGGCGAACGGGUGAGUAACACGUGAGUAACCUGCCCUUAACUCUGGGAUAAGCCUUGGAAACGGGGUCUAAUACUGGAUAUUGACUUUUCCUCGCAUGGGGAUUGGUUGAAAGAUUUAUUGGUUUUGGAUGGACUCGCGGCCUAUCAGCUUGUUGGUGAGGUAAUGGCUCACCAAGGCGACGACGGGUAGCCGGCCUGAGAGGGUGACCGGCCACACUGGGACUGAGACACGGCCCAGACUCCUACGGGAGGCAGCAGUGGGGAAUAUUGCACAAUGGGCGAAAGCCUGAUGCAGCGACGCCGCGUGAGGGAUGACGGCCUUCGGGUUGUAAACCUCUUUCAGUAGGGAACAAGGCCAGUGUUUAGCUGGUUGAGGGUACUUGCAGAAGAAGCGCCGGCUAACUACGUGCCAGCAGCCGCGGUAAUACGUAGGGCGCAAGCGUUAUCCGGAAUUAUUGGGCGUAAAGAGCUCGUAGGCGGUUUGUCGCGUCUGCCGUGAAAGUCCGGGGCUCAACCCCGGAUCUGCGGUGGGUACGGGCAGACUAGAGUGAUGUAGGGGAGACUGGAAUUCCUGGUGUAGCGGUGAAAUGCGCAGAUAUCAGGAGGAACACCGAUGGCGAAGGCAGGUCUCUGGGCAUUAACUGACGCUGAGGAGCGAAAGCAUGGGGAGCGAACAGGAUUAGAUACCCUGGUAGU
This 701-nucleotide ribosomal RNA is filed under the name Arthrobacter alpinus. RNAcentral describes it as "bacterial SSU rRNA". It matches the Rfam family "Bacterial small subunit ribosomal RNA", at positions 91 to 794 of the family's 1533-position model. Lineage: Bacteria; Bacillati; Actinomycetota; Actinomycetes; Micrococcales; Micrococcaceae. The record is from RNAcentral.